RNAcentral lists this ribosomal RNA (465 nucleotides) under uncultured bacterium. RNAcentral's name for it is "partial 16S ribosomal RNA". It matches the Rfam family "Bacterial small subunit ribosomal RNA", at positions 28 to 507 of the family's 1533-position model. The record is from RNAcentral.
GACGAACGCUGGCGGCGUGCUUAACACAUGCAAGUCGAACGGAAAGGCCCUGCUUUUGUGGGGUGCUCGAGUGGCGAACGGGUGAGUAACACGUGAGUAACCUGCCCUUGACUUUGGGAUAACUUCAGGAAACUGGGGCUAAUACCGGAUAGGAGCUCCUGCUGCAUGGUGGGGGUUGGAAAGUUUCGGCGGUUGGGGAUGGACGCGCGGCUUAUCAGCUUGUUGGGGUAGUGGCCUACCAAGGCUUUGACUGGUAGCCGGCCUGAGAGGUUGACCGGCCACAUUGGGACUGAGAUACGGCCCAGACUCCUACGGGAGGCAGAAGUGGGGAAUAUUGCACAAUGGGCGGAAGCCUGAUGCAGCAACGCCGCGUGCGGGAUGACGGCCUUCGGGUUGUAAACCGCUUUCGCCUGUGACGAAGCGUGAGUGACGGUAAUGGGUAAAGAAGCACCGGCUAACUACGUG